This 21-nucleotide non-coding RNA is filed under the name Arabidopsis thaliana (thale cress). The record is from RNAcentral. Lineage: Eukaryota; Viridiplantae; Streptophyta; Magnoliopsida; Brassicales; Brassicaceae.
UGCAGAAUUGGGUACAACUCA